CCGUGCGUUGCAACGGGGACAUAUAAUAUCACGGUAACUUAUGUAUUAUAUAUGUCUCCGUUGCAACGCACGGGCACUCCCCUUGUAAUUAUAAUAUAUAUGACUCGUUCUCAAGCAACAAAAAAUAUAUAUAUACUCAGGGCUGUUAUGAAUUGGAUCCAGGCUCAACUCCACAGGAGCUUCUUCAUGUAGUUUCACCAUCAGGCGAUGCUAAUUCUUGUUCAUAUAUGGCCGUGGCGGUUGGCGUGCCGCCCUCUUCAUCAUCGGGACAGUGUAAAUAUAAGAAGGACGAUACAUCAGCACCUAAAGGAGGUCCAUUGCUCUCAAGUUAUACCCCACUUGGAAUCUUGUUAAUACAUUAGUUUACAGAGAAGAAAUGGUUCGAUCAAUGUGUGCUUACAGUUAAAUGCAGUUUAGUCAAUUACUUUCCCUUUCCAUUUUAAGGAUGUAGUAUUGCUGUGAGGGGUUGUUUUGUCCCUCUGACUAAAAUUUAGCAUGUGUCACAUCACAUAAGCGCAUAGACUAAAUGCAAUGCGUUCCAGCGAGGAUCAUGUUUAUACUAUUACAUUUCCGAAAGGCACCAUAUGUUUGAAAUAAACUUCUGUUUCUGAUAGUCCAGCUUCAAUUACUUUCACUGCGGCCAAAUAAAACUUUAGUCUUAUCUGCUCAUGUAGUUUUGUAGCAAAGACGUAAAUUUUGAUUAGCUGGUGUAGAUAUUUUUGUGAACCAUCAUUGAUUUAGCAUCAUCAGUCACGUCGUGUAGGUCAUAGUUUGAUCAGUACGUAGAUUAGGACGUGCAUUGGAGAGGCAAACUGCAUCUGUCACAAAGAUGCAGGUUCUUUACCUUUACGACUUUACAAUUCAUUAUGUUCUAUAGCAUGUGUCACAUCACAUAAGCGCAUAGACUAAAUGCAAUGCGUUCCAGCGAGGAUCAUGUUUAUACUAUUACAUUUCCGAAAGGCACCAUAUGUUUGAAAUAAACUUCUGUUACUGAUAGUACAGCUUCAAUUACUUUCACUGAUCAGGUUCGAUGAAUGUAUAUUGUUAAUACACCUGCUACAUCUAUGCUUAUCAAUUGUCACAAGGCACAUGUAUUUUAUUUAGUAUCUGUUGUUCUUGAAUUUGGCAAGAGACAGACAUAGAGAAUCUAGGUGAGAAGAGUAUCUCUGUUGUAGGAGUUUCUGUGAAAAUUUAUUUAGUCCUUGCAGCAUUUUCAUAUCUUCAUCUUAGAUCUUAAGAGCAGUUCUCUGAACAAACUGUUGCUUCAUCUUAGAUCCUUGCAGCAUUUUAAGGAUAUAUAACUAAAUUUCUUUGGUCCUUGGUUAUUAAGCAUCAUGUUACUGAAAUUUCUUUGGUCCUUGGUUAUUAAGCAUUUUAAGGAUGUAACUAAAUUUCUCUGUUGUAGGAGUUUCUGAUUUCCUUCAUAUAUUUCCUUGGUUAUAACUAAAUUUCUUUGGUCCUUGCAGCAUUUUCAUCUCCUCAUCUUAGAUCCGAGUAUGUUAUAUGUAGCCUUAUUGAGAAUCUGAAAUUUAUUCUGUUGAGAUUCAGUCCACAAGAACUUGGUUAUAACUAAGUACUGGAUACACCGUUUAUGUUCUGUUAUCUUGAGACAAUAUCCUUGGCUUUGAGCUUCGUAAAUGAUGAUCUUACUCGGAUUGCCCCUUCAGGACAUCUAAAUGGAUGAUGCAACGCUCAGGCUUCGCAUAGAAUUUAACUUCUCUCUUGAUGCACAGUUAAAUGCAGUUUAGUCAAUUACUUUCCCUUUCCAUUUUAAGGAUAUAGAAUUGCUGUGAGGGGUUGUUUUGUCCCCCUGACUAAAAUUUAGCAUGUGUCACAUCACAUAAGCGCAUAGACUAAAUGCAAUGCGUUCCAGCGAGGAUCAUGUUUAUACUGUUACAUUUCCGAAAGACACCAUAUGUUUGAAAUAAACUUCUGUUACUGAUAGUACAGCUUCAAUUACUUUCACUGCGGCCAAAUAAAACUUUAGUCUUAUCUGCUCAUGUAGUUUUGUUGUUAAAACUGUAGCAUAAAUAGUGCGCCUGGGAAUGGUGUCGUGCCCACUUCUUGGUGGCCUCCUUGGUAAGAUUUGUGACAAGCAAAGGAUACCAUAUGAGUAUGGGAAAGGACGAUUGGAGGAGCGCUUUCAGCUGUUGGAGGAGAUCAGAAAGGUGUAGCCAACUCAAGUUUGUAAUGCUGCCGGAGUAACUGGGAGACCAAAUGAUGAUUUUUGUGAGACCCAUAAACUGGACACGUAUUGGUCCUUAUCUUAAAAUUAGCAUCAACCGAUAUGUACCGGAAGAAUGCAUAUAAACUUUAUUAUACCCCAAUAAAAGACCCCAAUACACACAAGCAAUGAAACUGAGCGAUAAAUUCAGUAACAUAUCAAGCAACUAAAUUAUGCUAGUGAGAACUAAUAAUUGAAAUGUUAUAACUGAAUAGAAAAAAGAAUCACAUGCAAAAUGUAAACUCACGAGACUACUGUGAUGCUCCUUCUCUCCACUGCUUGGUCACCGGUGUGUUGUCAGUUUCC
Molecule: long non-coding RNA, 2530 nt
Organism: Zea mays
Lineage: Eukaryota; Viridiplantae; Streptophyta; Magnoliopsida; Poales; Poaceae
Exons: 3
Source: RefSeq, a predicted model, not a curated record